AGCCUCCCUUGCACAGUUAAUUGGAGCACAGGACUGAAUUUUGACCAAUGAAAUCUGAGUAAAAGUGACUGCCAACUCUUCAGAUUUUUCUGCAGCCUGGAAAACUAGAAAUCUCUUGAAGAGAAUGGAAAGAAUUCAUGAGGAAAUGUCACUAUUGGAGCUAAAGAACCUUCAUUUAUCUUCUCAUGAAUAGAGGUGGUCACCAACCAGGUUUCCAGGGUAUCUAAUGCAAUCUGAUACUGUGCACACAGUUGACAAUUGACCGAUGUUGUUAACAGCAGCAACUGUAUCAACUUGUGUCUCAUACCAUCUAUAAGUUUCCCAGACUGUAAAUGAGCAGAAAGAGAAAAGCACUUUCUGUGUUUGAAAUGAAUUGA
Long non-coding RNA from Prionailurus viverrinus (fishing cat), 377 nucleotides. RefSeq lists it as uncharacterized. The transcript has 3 exons. Lineage: Eukaryota; Metazoa; Chordata; Mammalia; Carnivora; Felidae. The record is from RefSeq and is a predicted model, not a curated record.